This 494-nucleotide ribosomal RNA is filed under the name uncultured bacterium. RNAcentral describes it as "partial 16S ribosomal RNA". It matches the Rfam family "Bacterial small subunit ribosomal RNA", at positions 28 to 507 of the family's 1533-position model. The record is from RNAcentral.
GACGAACGCUGGCGGCGUGCUUAACACAUGCCAGUCGAACGGUGAAGCGCCUUCCUUUUUGGUGGGUGUGGAUGAGUGGCGAACGGGUGAGUAACACGUGAGUAACCUGCCCCCUUCUUCUGGAUAACCGCAUGAAAGUGUGGCUAAUACGGGAUAUUCUGGGUCUGUCGCAUGAUGGGUCUGGGAAAGAUAUUGUUUCGGUGGGGGAUGGGCUCGCGGCCUAUCAGCUUGUUGGUGGGGUGAUGGCCUACCAAGGCGGUGACGGGUAGCCGGCCUGAGAGGGUGGACGGUCACACUGGGACUGGGACACGGACCAGACUCCUACGGGAGGCAGCAGUGGGGAAUAUUGCACAAUGGGCGCAAGCCUGAUGCAGCGACGCCGCGUGAGAGAUGGAGGCCUUCGGGUUGUGAACCUCUUUCGCCAGUGAAGCAGGCCUGCCUCGUUUGUGGGUGGGUUGACGGUAGCUGGAUAAGAAGCGCCGGCUAACUACGUG